This 446-nucleotide ribosomal RNA is filed under the name uncultured bacterium. RNAcentral's name for it is "partial 16S ribosomal RNA". It matches the Rfam family "Bacterial small subunit ribosomal RNA", at positions 354 to 796 of the family's 1533-position model. The record is from RNAcentral.
GUAGGGAAUAUUGGACAAUGGAGGGAACCCUGAUCCAGCCAUGCCGCGUGGAGGAAGACUGCCCUCUGGGUUGUAAACUCCUUUUAUAUGGGAAGAACCGUCCUCAUUAAUGAGUGACCUGACGGUACCAUAGGAAUAAGCACCGGCUAACUCCGUGCCAGCAGCCGCGAUAAUACGGAGGGUGCAAGCGUUAUCCGGAUUCACUGGGUUUAAAGGGUGCGUAGGCGGAUAAAUAAGUCAGUGGUGAAAUCAACGGGCUCAACCUGUUAACUGCCAUUGAUACUGUGUAUCUUGAAUAUGAGAGAGGUAGGCGGAAUGUUGCAUGUAGCGGUGAAAUGCUUAGAUAUGCUACGGAACACCGAUUGCGAAGGCAGCUUACUAUUUCGUAAUUGACGCUGAGGCACGAAAGCGUGGGUAGCGAACAGGAUUAGAAACCCCUGUAGUCC